RNAcentral lists this ribosomal RNA (495 nucleotides) under uncultured bacterium. RNAcentral's name for it is "partial 16S ribosomal RNA". It matches the Rfam family "Bacterial small subunit ribosomal RNA", at positions 28 to 507 of the family's 1533-position model. The record is from RNAcentral.
GACGAACGCUGGCGGCGUGCCUAAUACAUGCAAGUAGAACGCCGAAGGAGGAGCUUGCUUGUCUGGAUGAGUUGCGAACGGGUGAGUAACGCGUAGGUAACCUGCCUGGUAGCGGGGGAUAACUAUUGGAAACGAUAGCUAAUACCGCAUAAUAGCAGUUGUUGCAUGACAACUGUUUGAAAGGUGCAAUUGCACCACUACCAGAUGGACCUGCGUUGUAUUAGCUAGUUGGUGGGGUAACGGCUCACCAAGGCGACGAUACAUAGCCGACCCGAGAGGGUGAUCGGCCACACUGGGACUGAGACACGGCCCAGACUCCUACGGGAGGCAGCAGUAGGGAAUCUUCGGCAAUGGACGGAAGUCUGACCGAGCAACGCCGCGUGAGUGAAGAAGGUUUUCGGAUCGUAAAGCUCUGUUGUAAGAGAAGAACGAGUGUGAGAGUGGAAAGUUCACACUGUGACGGUAUCUUACCAGAAAGGGACGGCUAACUACGUG